Molecule: transfer RNA, 104 nt
Filed under: Candidatus Woesearchaeota archaeon
Lineage: Archaea; Nanobdellati; Candidatus Woesearchaeota
Description: tRNA-Pro
Source: RNAcentral
GGCAGUGAUCUAGCUUGGAUAUGAUGCGCGCUUUGGGUGCGUGUAAUCGGGGGUUCAAACAAGUGGCUGAUAAUUCAGUCCCAUUGGAAGUCCUCCCUGCCCCA